RNAcentral lists this ribosomal RNA (164 nucleotides) under uncultured bacterium. Its description in RNAcentral is "partial 16S ribosomal RNA". It matches the Rfam family "Bacterial small subunit ribosomal RNA", at positions 355 to 511 of the family's 1533-position model. The record is from RNAcentral.
UAGGGAAUCUCCCACAAUGGGCGAAAGCCUGAUGGAGCAACGCCGCGUGUGUGAUGAAGGGUUUCGGCUCGUAAAACACUGUUGUAAGAGAAGAAUGACAUUGAGAGUAACUGUUCAAUGUGUGACGGUAUCUUACCAGAAAGGAACGGCUAAAUACGUGCCAG